RNAcentral lists this transfer RNA (49 nucleotides) under Nycterophilia coxata. RNAcentral describes it as "partial tRNA-Leu". RNAcentral also lists the same sequence under 1 other name. The record is from RNAcentral. Lineage: Eukaryota; Metazoa; Arthropoda; Insecta; Diptera; Streblidae.
GUGCAAUGGAUUUAAGCUUCAUAUAUAAAGUAUUUUACUUUUAUUAGAA